AAAGGUGAAAUUAAGUUAUUCUUAUUAAUUACAUUACUUGAGUUGAAGCUGAGGAUUAUUAGAGAUAAACUAGGAUUAGAUACCCUAUUAUACUAAUAAAUAUUAAUAAACCUGAAUUAUUAAUAGAUAUUGUCUUUAAAUUUGAAGAAUUUGGCGGUGAUUUAAUCUUGUUAGAGGAAUCUGUUUUUGAAUCGAUACACCACGUUAAAUUUCACUCAGGUCUAUAUACCGUCAUUAACAGAUAAUUUUAAAAGAAAUUGAAUUAUUAAGGUUUAUUUAUAAAUAAAUUAAAUUAGAUCAAGGUGUAGCUUAUAAAUGAGUUAAAAUGGAUUACAAUAAAAUAUAUUUAUUACGGAAUAGAAGCUAUAAAGGAGGAUUUAAUUGUAUUGAGGUUUAAUAAGCCUGUAAGACAUAAGCACUAAAUCAUGUACAUAUCGCCCGUCGCUCUC
Molecule: ribosomal RNA, 449 nt
Filed under: Atergatis floridus
Lineage: Eukaryota; Metazoa; Arthropoda; Malacostraca; Decapoda; Xanthidae
Description: partial 12S small subunit ribosomal RNA
Source: RNAcentral